RNAcentral lists this long non-coding RNA (2493 nucleotides) under Sorghum bicolor (sorghum). Its description in RNAcentral is "long non-coding RNA (SBIC_LNC016036)". Lineage: Eukaryota; Viridiplantae; Streptophyta; Magnoliopsida; Poales; Poaceae. The record is from RNAcentral.
CUCCCUGUUUUAUCAAGUAAGUUUUUAUUUGCUCUUCUUAUUUAUUCUUUUCCGUUUUAGUGUUUUAUUUAUUUCAAAAAAAUCAUCAAUAUAUAUUUUCUUGCUUUAAUUUACUGCAUUCUAUAAACAUGAAAACAAAAUAAAAAGAGUGUGUAGAUAAGUGUGUUUUAUUUAUCUACUAAGUGUUAAUCUCUAGAAAAAUAAAAAGACCAAAAUGAUGCAUGAUGAAAAUGAUAAACAGUUGCUCUGUUUGCUUACUUUCAAGUACCUAGCUUUUGUAUUAGAGUUCUCCAAGGAAUUACUAAAACUGAAAUUUACUAUCUAUUGGAAGCAUGAACCUAGAACUAAAGUCUAGGUAAGAGAAGGACAUGAUAUAAAGUUUGAGCUACUGAUUAUCCUGUUUCUACUACACUAAGUUCUGGAGAUUUAUUUUGAAAACUUGCAAAUCACAUGAUGAGUUCCUAGCAUGAUGAAAAUCCCUACCACAACCAUACCUGCUACAAUUUCUAUAUCUUUUGCUACUUAUAUUCACAUUGAGUUCGAUCGAGCUGUGUAGACCCUUAGGAGCUUUUCAUGUGGUUAAAUCAAGAUACUCACUUGCACAGAUCUAUUAUACCAUCCAUCACCAUUCAUAAAAAAUCUGCUAAAAUAUUGUUAUCACUCACUGUCCCAAGUGUUGUUAUUCUCUCUCUCCAAAAAGAUUCAAUGCAGAAGAGGCAUGGGUUAUGCAAAAAUAUGUGAGGAAAUAAAAAGGGGCAAGUGCCCGGAACCUCGAAAAAAAGAAGAAGAAAAAAAAGUGAGACGAUAGGUAAAAAUGGACAAGUGUCUAGAGUUGAAUUAGGGGUACAAAGAUGCCCACCUGAGUGAAAAAAAUGGACAAGUGUCCGACAGUAGAAUUAGGGGUAUUUACUACCCACCUGAAAAAAAGAGAAAAAGAAGGAAAAAAAAGAGAUAGCCCAUGUUCUCCCAAAGCAAAAAUCAAAAGAGGAGGAGAGAUAGCAAUAUGAGGAGCAAUGAGAAGUAAGUUUUAUCAUCACUUAUACAUUUUUACCAUCACUGUCAUCUACUCCACCACACAUGCACAUCUUAAUUUAACUAUAUGCUGAGUUCCUUUGGAUCCAUGGCUUGAUUAGACAACAUAUGUAUGAGCUGUUUUUCACUCCUAUGAGCUCCACUUAAAUAUUCCAUUAGCUAUAGGUAGGUGACAUCUUUGUAAGGAUCCACUAAUACCACAUAUAGAGAGACUUAAGAGAAUCAUAGCUGGGAACUCUGAGCUUUAUUUUUGAAAACUUAUGCAAAACUCCAGAACAAAUGUGAAGUAUAGGCAAGAGGAAUAGUGCUUGACUUAAUUAAUUUGUCUUUCAAUUACUCAAGACUUAAGUGCAGGUACUAAGCCCCUUGACACUUCACUCUAAUCUGGGAGAAUUUUAUAUGAAAGCAUGUGUGCCUGUCAAGAAAGAAAACAUCAAAGCAACUCCUGAUCCAUUUGAGUUUAGUUGUUUGCUCAGGGACGAGCAAAGGGUAAUCUUGGGGGAGUUUGUUGGCGGUCCUUAAGUACUAAAUUUAGCUAUCAAAUAAGCAUGGAAAAGGAUUAAUAUCCACCAAACAUCUAGAAUUAGGGUUUUAUCUGACAGAAUUCCACGAGUUUUGGUGUUUGUCUAUUUCUGCAGGGGGUUAUCAGAAAAUAUGGAGAGAAGGCCCACACAUCGGGCUAACAACGAGAUAAUUACGUCCCGCGCAAUUUUCCUCGACCAAGAAGAGUCCAGAAGCCACGAGAACGAACGGGAGGCCGAGCGGGCCCGGGGGCAUGGCGCCCGCCCUCCCCACUUGGGCGCCCGCCCUGCCGUGGUGACCAAUCAGGGCAAGUCUCGCGGAUCGUGCUCCACCGCCUCUAAUCUUCAAGAAUAACCGUGCGAUUAAGGUCAGUUUGAUCCGACGCCCCAAAUUCAUCUGAGGGGACUAUAUAAGCAAGGCCUCUCCACCCCAAGGGGAGAGGAGAAAUCAUUAUCAUAGGAAGCCAUCAAAUUUAGGGUUUUAGAACUUCUCCCGCAGAGAAUUAGAAUUAGCUACUCCCAGUUCCUUCAAGUUCUAUAGGAUUGAUUAGAUAGAAUUAGAGAAGUAGAGCACUACGCUCUGGAUUUCGGAUCAUCAUCAUUAAAGAUUGGUAUUAUUUCAUAUCUUUCUCUACUACUUUAUUCUAAUUGUAUUAUGUCUCUAUUUAUUAUGUCUUUGUUUGCUCUAGUUCUAUAUUUGAUAUAGUUAUGAUUGAUAAUGAGUUUAUGUAUAAGUUUGCAAAGCGCUUAGCUCUUGACGCGCGGGAGUUAGGUGGUAGAUCGCAUGUGGGCGUGGUGCUUAGAUGUUAUUUACCUGCAAAUGUAUCCUAUUGGUUGGGUUGUGUGGUAGUUCACGAUGGUGACAGCUUCGUUGAUUCUUAUAUAGUCCACCCUCCAUUGAUAGGACAGGCAGAAUUUGUAUUGCGGAGUAAGUCUUGCU